RNAcentral lists this ribosomal RNA (210 nucleotides) under Malassezia pachydermatis. Its description in RNAcentral is "partial large subunit ribosomal RNA". The record is from RNAcentral. Lineage: Eukaryota; Fungi; Basidiomycota; Malasseziomycetes; Malasseziales; Malasseziaceae.
UACGUGAAAUUGUCGAAAGGGAAGCGCUUGAAGUCAGCCAUGCUGCUUGAGACUCAGCCUUGCUUUUGCUUGGUGUAUUUCUCGGUAGCAAGCCAGCAUUGGUUUGAGUCGUCGGAGAAGGGUAUGAGAAAUGUGGCAUCCUCGGAUGUGUUAUAGACUUGUACUGGAUACGACGAUUUGGAUCAAGGGAACGCAGUGUGCCUCUGGCGG